UUAGUAACGUUAGUAAACAUUUUAAAGUGUAGGGGCACUUAUAACAUGUAACAGUUCCUUACAAAAUGUAACAAUUAACAACAUUUGUUAGUAAAUGUUUUUAUGUUAGGAAAUGUUUACAAACAUUUUCUAACGGCGGUGUGGGAGCACCAUAUUAUUAUUAUUCGC
This is a long non-coding RNA of Aricia agestis (brown argus), 168 nucleotides long. RefSeq lists it as uncharacterized. The transcript has 3 exons. Lineage: Eukaryota; Metazoa; Arthropoda; Insecta; Lepidoptera; Lycaenidae. The record is from RefSeq and is a predicted model, not a curated record.